Molecule: transfer RNA, 80 nt
Filed under: Caudoviricetes sp.
Lineage: Duplodnaviria; Heunggongvirae; Uroviricota; Caudoviricetes
Description: tRNA-Glu
Source: RNAcentral
GGUCUGUUGUCUUCAGUCGACGCUGUGGGAUAACCCUCUCAAGGCGGAGAUCACCGGUUCGAAUCCGGUACGGGCUACCA